RNAcentral lists this ribosomal RNA (425 nucleotides) under uncultured bacterium. RNAcentral's name for it is "partial 16S ribosomal RNA". It matches the Rfam family "Bacterial small subunit ribosomal RNA", at positions 354 to 796 of the family's 1533-position model. The record is from RNAcentral.
GUAAGGAAUAUUGGACAAUGGGGGAAACCCUGAUCCAGCCAUGCCGCGUGAGUGAAGAAGGCCUUCGGGUUGUAAAACUCUUUCAGAUGUGAAGAUGAUGACGGUAACAUCAGAAGAAGCUCCGGCUAACUUCGUGCCAGCAGCCGCGGUAAUACGAAGGGAGCGAGCGUUGUUCGGAAUCACUGGGCGUAAAGAGUGCGUAGGCGGUUAUACAAGUCAGGAGUGAAAUCCCAGAGCUUAACUUUGGAAUUGCUUUUGAAACUGUAUAGCUAGAGUCCCGGAGGGGUUAAUGGAAGUCCGAGUGUAGAGGUGAAAUUCGCAGAUAUUCGGAGGAACACCAGUGGCGAAGGCGAUUAACUGGACGGGCACUGACGCUGAGGCACGAAAGCGUGGGGAUCAAACAGGAUUAGAUACCCUGGUAGUCC